UUAAGUGACUAAGCGUACAAGGUGGAUGCCUUGGCAAUCAGAGGCGAAGAAGGACGUGCUAAUCUGCGAAAAGCUUGGAUGAGUCGAUAAGAGGCGUUUAAUCCAAGAUAUCCGAAUGGGGAAACCCAGUAGAUGAAGAAUCUACUAUCAACAAGUGAAUUCAUAGCUUGUUGAGGCAAACCGGGAGAACUGAAACAUCUAAGUACCCCGAGGAAAAGAAAUCAACCGAGAUUUCGUCAGUAGUGGCGAGCGAAAGCGAAAGAGCCAGUAAGUGAUAGCAGUAUAGUUAGGAGAAUGUGUUGGGAAGCACAAUCAAAGAGGGUGAUAAUCCCGUAUCUAAAAACCAUAUUGUGGUACUAAGCUAACGAGAAGUAGGGCGGGACACGUGAUAUCCUGUUUGAAGAAGGGGGGACCAUCCUCCAAGGCUAAAUACUCCUGAUUGACCGAUAGUGAACCAGUACUGUGAAGGAAAGGCGAAAAGAACCCCGGUGAGGGGAGUGAAAUAGAACCUGAAACCUUGUACGUACAAGCAGUGGGAGCGAGGGCAACCUUGUGACUGCGUACCUUUUGUAUAAUGGGUCAGCGACUUAUAUUUUGUAGCGAGGUUAACCGAAUAGGGGAGCCGAAGGGAAACCGAGUCUUAACUGGGCGAAUAGUUGCAAGGUAUAGACCCGAAACCCGGUGAUCUAGCCAUGGGCAGGUUGAAGGUUGGGUAACACUAACUGGAGGACCGAACCGACUAAUGUUGAAAAAUUAGCGGAUGACUUGUGGCUGGGGGUGAAAGGCCAAUCAAACCGGGAGAUAGCUGGUUCUCCCCGAAAUCUAUUUAGGUAGAGCCUUGAGGUGACACCUUUGGGGGUAGAGCACUGUUUCGGCUAGGGGGCCAUCCCGGCUUACCAACCCGAUGCAAACUACGAAUACCAAAGAGUGAUACUCAGGAGACACACGGCGGGUGCUAACGUCCGUCGUGGAGAGGGAAACAACCCAGACCGCCAGCUAAGGUCCCCAAGUCUAUAUUAAGUGGGAAACGAAGUGGGAAGGCUUAGACAGCUAGGAUGUUGGCUUAGAAGCAGCCAUCAUUUAAAGAAAGCGUAAUAGCUCACUAGUCGAGUCGGCCUGCGCGGAAGAUGUAACGGGGCUGAAAUAUAGCACCGAAGCUGCGGCAUCAGAAUUUAUUCUGUUGGGUAGGGGAGCGUUGUGUAAGCGGAAGAAGGUUCAUCGAGAGGUGGGCUGGACGUAUCACAAGUGCGAAUGCUGACAUAAGUAACGAUAAAACGGGUGAAAAACCCGUUCGCCGGAAGACCAAGGGUUCCUGUCCAACGUUAAUCGGGGCAGGGUGAGUCGGCUCCUAAGGCGAGGCUGAAAAGCGUAGUCGAUGGGAAACAGGUUAAUAUUCCUGUACUUGGUAAAGCUGCGAUGUGGGGACGGAGUAGGUUAGGUUAUCGCACUGUUGGAUAUGUGCGUUUAAGUUGGUAGGUGGGAAGUUUAGGCAAAUCCGGACUUCCUUAACACAGAGAGAUGAUGACGAGGCUCUACGGAGCUGAAGUAACUGAUACCACACUUCCAGGAAAAGCCACUAAGCGAAAGGCUUUACUAAACCGUACUGAAAACCGACACAGGUGGUCAGGUAGAGAAUACUCAGGCGCUUGAGAGAACUCGGGUGAAGGAACUAGGCAAAAUAGCACCGUAACUUCGGGAGAAGGUGCGCCGGCGUAGAUUGUAAGGGCUAGCCCCUGAAGGUUGAACCGGUCGAAGUGACCCGCUGGCUGCAACUGUUUAUUAAAAACACAGCACUCUGCAAACACGAAAGUGGACGUAUAGGGUGUGAUGCCUGCCCGGUGCUGGAAGGUUAAUUGAUGGUGUAAUCGCAAGAGAAGCACCUGAUCGAAGCCCCAGUAAACGGCGGCCGUAACUAUAACGGUCCUAAGGUAGCGAAAUUCCUUGUCGGGUAAGUUCCGACCUGCACGAAUGGCAUAAUGAUGGCCAGGCUGUCUCCACCCGAGACUCAGUGAAAUUGAAAUCGCCGUGAAGAUGCGGUGUACCCGCGGCUAGACGGAAAGACCCCGUGAACCUUUACUAUAGCUUGACACUGAACAUUGAAUUUUGAUGUGUAGGAUAGGUGGGAGACUUAGAAGUAGGAACGCCAGUUUCUAUGGAGUCAUCCUUGAAAUACCACCCUUUAACGUUUGAUGUUCUAACGAAGAUUGCGGAACGCGGUCUCGGACAGUGUCUGGUGGGUAGUUUGACUGGGGCGGUCUCCUCCCAAAGCGUAACGGAGGAGCACGAAGGUUUGCUAAUCACGGUCGGACAUCGUGAGGUUAGUGCAAUGGUAUAAGCAAGCUUAACUGCGAGACAGACAAGUCGAGCAGGUACGAAAGUAGGUCAUAGUGAUCCGGUGGUUCUGAAUGGAAGGGCCAUCGCUCAACGGAUAAAAGGUACUCCGGGGAUAACAGGCUGAUACCGCCCAAGAGUUCAUAUCGACGGCGGUGUUUGGCACCUCGAUGUCGGCUCAUCACAUCCUGGGGCUGAAGUAGGUCCCAAGGGUAUGGCUGUUCGCCAUUUAAAGUGGUACGCGAGCUGGGUUUAGAACGUCGUGAGACAGUUCGGUCCCUAUCUGCCGUGGGCGUUGGAUGAUUGAUUGGGGCUGCUCCUAGUACGAGAGGACCGGAGUGGACGCAUCACUGGUGUUCCAGUUGUCUCGCCAGAGGCAUUGCUGGGUAGCUAAAUGCGGAAGAGAUAAGUGCUGAAAGCAUCUAAGCACGAAACUUGCCAAGAGAUGAGUCAUCCCUGACUUUAAGUCAGUAAGGGUUGUUGUAGACUACGACGUAGAUAGGUCAGGUGUGUAAGUGUAGUGAUACAUUGAGCUAACAGAUACUAAUUGCCCGAGAGGCUUAACUAU
This 2899-nucleotide ribosomal RNA is filed under the name Haemophilus influenzae. Its description in RNAcentral is "23S ribosomal RNA". It matches the Rfam family "Bacterial large subunit ribosomal RNA". The record is from RNAcentral. Lineage: Bacteria; Pseudomonadati; Pseudomonadota; Gammaproteobacteria; Pasteurellales; Pasteurellaceae.